UUGUGGCCCCGUGGGGCGUAACCGGGGGCCCGGGGAGUGAGUAACGGGCCCUUGAAUCUGGGAUAAGGGUGGGAAAGUGGGUCUAAUAGGGGAUAUGACUCCUCAUCGCAUGGUGGGGGGUGGAAAGCUUUUUGUGGUUUUGGAUGGACUCGCGGCCUAUCAGCUUGUUGGUGAGGUAAUGGCUCACCAAGGCGACGACGGGUAGCCGGCCUGAGAGGGUGACCGGCCACACUGGGACUGAGACACGGCCCAGACUCCUACGGGAGGCAGCAGUGGGGAAUAUUGCACAAUGGGCGCAAGCCUGAUGCAGCGACGCCGCGUGAGGGAUGACGGCCUUCGGGUUGUAAACCUCUUUCAGUAGGGAAGAAGCGAAAGUGACGGUACCUGCAGAAGAAGCGCCGGCUAACUACGUGCCAGCAGCCGCGGUAAUACGUAGGGCGCAAGCGUUAUCCGGAAUUAUUGGGCGUAAAGAGCUCGUAGGCGGUUUGUCGCGUCUGCCGUGAAAGUCCGGGGCUCAACUCCGGAUCUGCGGUGGGUACGGGCAGACUAGAGUGAUGUAGGGGAGACUGGAAUUCCUGGUGUAGCGGUGAAAUGCGCAGAUAUCAGGAGGAACACCGAUGGCGAAGGCAGGUCUCUGGGCAUUAACUGACGCUGAGGAGCGAAAGCAUGGGGAGCGAACAGGAUUAGAUACCCUGGUAGUCCAUGCCGUAAACGUUGGGCACUAGGUGUGGGGGACAUUCCACGUUUUCCGCGCCGUAGCUAACGCAUUAAGUGCCCCGCCUGGGGAGUACGGCCGCAAGGCUAAACUCAAAGGAAUUGACGGGGGCCCGCACAGCGCGAGCAUGCGAUUAUCGAUGCACGCGAGAACUACAGCUUGACAUGACGGUAUACUUGAACAGUGCCCGCUGCGUCGGUUCACAGUGUGCAUGGUGUCGUCCGCUCUGUCUGAAGGUGUUAGUCCGCACGAGCACACCCUCGUCUAUGUGCAGCCGUAUGGCGGGGAUCCUCAUAGGAGACUGCCGGGGUCAACUCGGAGGAAGGUGGGGACGACGUCAAAUCAUCAUGCCCCUUAUGUCUUGGGCUUCCGACGCAUGCUACAAUGGCCGGUACAAAGGGUUGCGAUACUGUGAGGUGGAGCUAAUCCCAAAAAGCCGGUCUCAGUUCGGAGGUUGGGGUCUGCAACUCGACCCCAUGAAGUCGGAGUCGCUAGUAAUCGCAGAUCAGCAACGCUGCGGUGAAUACGUUCCCGCGGGCCUUGUACACACCGCCCGUCAAGUCACGAAAGUUGGUAACACCCGAAGCCGGUGGCCUAACCCCUUGUGGGAGGGAGC
RNAcentral lists this ribosomal RNA (1331 nucleotides) under Arthrobacter sp. TSBY-7. Its description in RNAcentral is "partial 16S ribosomal RNA". It matches the Rfam family "Bacterial small subunit ribosomal RNA", at positions 80 to 1453 of the family's 1533-position model. Lineage: Bacteria; Bacillati; Actinomycetota; Actinomycetes; Micrococcales; Micrococcaceae. The record is from RNAcentral.